AAGCUUUCCGGUCGCAAAAGCCGGAAGCGGUUGGAAGCGGUCCACGCGGUCCUCAGUGAAGUCGCGCGCCCCGGAUUUCGGAGGGCUAGGCCGCGGGGCUUCCGCUGCACCUGCAGCCGCUGGCCGCCGCGCUUGGAGGGACGCUCCCUUAAAAGUCGCUUUCCGAGGAGGCCGAGAACGAGUGGUGGAGUGCAGCGGUAACUCGCUUGUUGCAUCUACCCCUCCCCUCUCUGUGUUGCCCAUUUCCCACCUCUCUUUAUUAACGAACUUCAGGAAAACGUAGAGGUUUUCGGCGCGGUCGGGACCUGAGCUUGCGGCCACCUGUGACACCAGCUGGCUAAUCUUAUAACAAGCACAGCCGAAUUCUGGAGAAAUACAGGACGUGGGGCGUUAUCGUUUUCUACGCCGUGGCGUCAUUGUGAACUCCGAUACUGCUGCUCUCUGAUCCCGGUUUUGUGAAUCCCAAAAUUAUCUUCCAAGAACCCUGGGUCCCGGAGACAUGGGCCCUGCCCGGAAAGCAUUUUGCCGGCUUUAUCCUCGGGAACUUAAAUAGGUUACGGAUUUUUUUUUUUUUUUUUUUUUUUUUUAUUUCAGGGGCCUUAAUUUCUUCUAAAACUAUAUUAUUUUAUCAUUGCAAAGAGGGUCUUUUGAUCUGCUGAGUAACUUGCUUAAGAUUAGGGAGUGCGAACUAAAGAGAGCUGAACUGCUGUGCCAGAUGGUCGGAGAGAGGCGUCCAUGAAUUGGGAUUCUGGUCACCGAAUGGGGAAAAAAUCCAGACAAGAACCCAACGUGACUGACUAGCUAAAAAAGGAUUUUGAAAGCGAAAAUGGCUGGUAUGGAUACAGAGAUACCCCGCUCUGCAGCGGGCGUUAUGACCUUUAACAGGGUCUUCAGGAAAGUCACCACUACUCACAAACGCUUGGUCUGGAGGAGUUGUUUUGCUGGAAACAGAAACGGUUGGAUUUAGCAUCCAUGACAACGUGGUAAAUGUAAAGGCAGCAGGUGUAGCGACAGGAGUCAGGAAAGCAGUUGAGAUACUACGAAUGCUACCCUUCCAGAAACUUGUGGGACUCUUGGGUGGGCUUUGGACUUCCACGAGAUAGGAAAUUAGAGUGUUUGAGUGUAGUUUAACCCGGAUGUCUAGAAACAUAGAAACUCCAGCUGAUGCGUAAACCCUGUGAGGAUAGGAAUUUUGUAUGUCGUGCUCACUGCUCUGUACCUAGAAUUAGGCAUAGAGUGGAAAGGUCCCUGUAGUCCUGAAGCUUCAAAAAGGAGGAAGGAAUCUCAGAGAUAAGUAACAUACAAAGCCACAGAAAUAAUUAGCUGUAGAACCAAGAUUCAUAUCGAGCUCCAACUCCAAACCGAUCUCUAGGCACGACACCACAGUGGUACGCAGCCAGCUAUCCACCAGUAUCCAUUGUCUCCAGCCACAGCUAAGUAGCUACUACCAGGGCACCCCACUCUCGGUUGGGCGUCCCACUCUGGGUUUGAUUCUGAUCAUGAUCUCACAGUUUAGUGAGUUCCAGCCUGCGUUGGGCUCUGUGCUGCUAAUGCAGAGAAUGUUUGGUUCUCUCUCUCUUUCUGCCCCUCCCCUGCCCCUUGCUCAUGCUGUGCUCAUGCUGUCUCUGUCUCUCUCAAAAAUAAAAAAAAUUUAAAAAAAAAAAAAAAAAAAAGAACUACUAGCCAGGUGUGGCCAUUAUGUAACUCAUCAGCAGAAUGCGGCCAGAAGCAAUGUAUGCCAUUGACAAGGGAAGUUUCAAAGAAGGGAGUGCGCCUUCAUCUUUGGCCAGCUGGAUACAGACAACAAAGCCAUAAAAGAUGACCGAAACACAAACCAGGAGGACCUCAGGGCUCCUGGCUCCGUGUGGAGUAAAGCCAGCAGCUGUUAACUGCUGGUUCUGAUCAGGACUCCAGGCCCAGGCUCCUUCCUGCAGGCAGAUCACGGGUCACUGAGCCGCCCGCGUGCCUUGUGUGUGCUUCAUCUCAUCACCCAGGACGUGAAAUGACUUGUCCUCAAGCUUUGGGACUCAGUCAAGAUGGGACAAGAAACCAUAUGGCAAAGCGCUGACUGGCUCUGACCGUCUCUGCACAUCAGUUCCAUUCACAUUUUCUAGGCCAAGCAAGUCACAUGGUCACUUCUAGCCACAAGUGCACAGGUAAGUGCAACUUGUGGGGAAGUGGCUUGUGGGGAAGAGAGCUGUAGAAUGUUUGAGAGCCUUCCCAGUGACUGCACACCUCAACACCUUUCAAAGUAAGGAAAACAAUACCGCUUGGACCGCACAAAAUAACCUGCCCUCGUUCUUUCUUCUGCCACAGCAAGGAAUAAAGUUGUAGAUGGCGGCUGCUCUAAUGACAAAGAACAGAGUCUCCUGCUGACCCUUGACCACCGCCUAGUGUGAGCAAGCAAACAAACGUCAUGUCUUAAACGGUGGAGCUGUUGGCGUCUUUGUUGCUGUGGCCCAACUCACCCAUGAGCACUGCAGUUAGGGCUUGUCCCACACCCGGCCCACACCCCCGGGCCAGUUCGCUAAUUGACUUGACUGUGUGAGUUCGCAAGGCUGCUUUACACGACGCUGUCUUCCUGAAAUCUGCACCUGUACCAAGUUAGGUGCCCGUCAUCUGUCUGACAAACAAAGCUAGUGCUUUUAAUGUUGCCUUUCAGUGUGAUUAAGUACGCUAGUGAACCUACUGUUUUAAGG
Molecule: long non-coding RNA, 2699 nt
Organism: Panthera uncia (snow leopard)
Lineage: Eukaryota; Metazoa; Chordata; Mammalia; Carnivora; Felidae
Exons: 3
Source: RefSeq, a predicted model, not a curated record